This 1193-nucleotide ribosomal RNA is filed under the name Crepidostomum auritum. RNAcentral's name for it is "eukaryotic LSU rRNA". It matches the Rfam family "Eukaryotic large subunit ribosomal RNA", at positions 1 to 805 of the family's 3401-position model. The record is from RNAcentral. Lineage: Eukaryota; Metazoa; Platyhelminthes; Trematoda; Plagiorchiida; Allocreadiidae.
CUGACCUCGGAUCAGACGUGAUUACCCGCUGAACUUAAGCAUAUCACUAAGCGGAGGAAAAGAAACUAACAAGGAUUCCCUUAGUAACGGCGAGUGAACAGGGAUGAGCCCAGCACCGAAGCCUGUGGCCAUUUGGUUACUAGGCAAUGUGGUGUUUAGGUCGUUCCGCAGAGACACUGCUCCUCUCUAAGUCCAUCAAUGAGUACGGUUGUACUGACAUGGCCCACGGAGGGUGAAAGGCCCGUAAGAGAGGAGUUUUGGUAUGACAGUAUCUCUCUGGAUUGACCUUGGAGUCGGGUUGUUUGGGAAUGCAGCCCUAAGCGGGUGGUAAACUCCAUCCAAGGCUAAAUACAAGCACGAGUCCGAUAGCGAACAAGUACCGUGAGGGAAAGUUGAAAAGUACUUUGAAGAGAGAGUAAACAGUGCGUGAAACCGCUUAGAGGUAAACGGGUGGAGUUGAACUGCAAUCUCUGAGAAUUCAGCUGGGGAAUUUUGCUUGAGCUUGGUCAAAUUGGGCAGGGCCUCGGGGUAUGCUCAUGUGCAUGUUCUGACCUUCGGGUCGGGAUGCGCGUUGCUCUUAUCAAGGGCUGCGCGCCCCGGGUGUCCGGCUGGCUCUGUCGCCAGUGCACUUUCUCGGAGUGAUCACCACGACCGGCGCUGCUGCUUGGCUGUUUUUGUCAAACCGAACGUUCAUCGUCCUUGUGGCGUUGGGUGGACGGCACGGCAGGUAACUGGGGGCUUGCUUCGGCUUGCUGCUCGGUGUAUGUCGGCUUUAACGGUUCUAUGCGGUGUGUCGGAGACGGCGGCUAGUAGUGUGUGCGUGCGUAUCUAUCUGUUGGCAUAUUCUGGUUUGGUGACUGUGUGCUUGUUCAAGCAGGCCCAGUUAUGGCCGGGGUGUGUCAGUGGGUGGUUGCGUGUGUGGCACUUUUCAGGGCCAACAGUCUGUGGUGUUGUGGUAGACUAUCCACCUGACCCGUCUUGAAACACGGACCAAGGAGAGUAACAUGUGCGCGAGUCAUUGGGCGUAACGAAACCCACAGGCGCAGUGAAAGUAAAGGUCUGGCUUGUCCAGUCUAAGGUGAGAUCCUGUCGUAGUUCAUGCGAGGUACCACCAAGCUUGGAGCGAUGGGCGCAUCACCGGCCCGUCCCAUGACGUGGUCACAGUCUUCGGAUUGUGCGCCGUGGGGGCGGGG